CUCCUGGAAGCAGGAUGCAGUCUCCCUGCCCUUUCGUCUGAUGCAGACUUCUGUGCAGCACGAGCCCUGCCCUUCUCACCGGACACACAGCCUCAUCUCUGUAGGGGUGCAGCUACCAGCCAGGCUUUGGACUAGAAGGCAUGACACAGUGAAGAGACAGAUAGAGAAAGCCACAUAGAUGAGACGAUGGGCCCAGGAGAAGAAAGGAGCUGGGAAAGAAAAGUUCCGUUCGGUCUGGACAUCUGUAACAGAGAAGUAUAACCUUUGGGGUUGUUAAUGUACACACAAGCCUGUGGGAAGGCGGACGUGGUUUGAGAGGUGUUAAAACCCAUUUACGCUUUUAGACAUUAGACCACCUGCUACACAGAAGUCUCCUGAGGGAAUAGGCUGAGGACAGCUCAGUUUUGAUGAGAAGAGUAAAGAUCAAAGCAUAGAAGUUAUUUGGAUGGGAUUUCAGAUCUAUGAGUUCAGAUCUAAGGAGAGAGCCCUUAAUGUUAAAGAGGUUCCAGCAUGAGGAUCUGGAGUUCCUGUGGAAAACUGGGAAGGAAGAGUGGAGAGGCAAUAAAAACAGAGGUGGGGACUCAGAAAGACAGAUGAAGAACAAACUUUGCUUGUUUUUCACGCUUGGAGAAUCACGAUUUAAUUUUGGAAAGAGCAUCUGGCUCCCAUUCAUUUUCUUGCCAAUAUAACAUGCCUUGUAUUUGCCAUCUUUCAGGGAUGAUCAUUCAAAUGCCACCCCAUAGGAAUUUCAUCAGGCAUACCCUUCAGAGGUAUGAAAUGUGGCUAUUUCAGGGUAUACCUAACUACUGUAAUUAAAAUAUCAUAAUAUGCAAGUAGGUAAACACACAGAUCAAUAACAGUAAGCCAGAAGUUCCAAAGUAUUUGGACCUAUUCCGUUUAGCCCUAGGGCAAGUCACCUGACCUCUUUACCCGAGUUUUCCUAUAGUUAAAACAAGGCAAAUCAAUUCUUUCCUACUGUGUUUCAUAGGAGUAUACAUUGGAUACAUUUUAAAGAACUAUGUUGGAGUUCAAUAUUAUAACGCUGAACAUAUGGAAACUUCCUAGAUGAACUUCAAAAUAUUCCAUUAUUUUUGUUGAAAAAAAUGUAAAAUUCCACUUCAAUUACAGUUCCUUUGUACUAUCUCCCUCACAAUGUUAUCAUUGUACAUAUUCUGAAAUUAACAGACGCACUUCCUGCUGAAGCACAGAUAGCAGGGUUGUAGACGCUAGAAAGAACAAAGGCCUAAAGACAAAAGACUUUUUCCUCCCAGAAGUAAGAAAAUUCAGCUUGAAGGAUUGGCAAACAGCCAAUACACCAUUCAGCACACCCGUACAUUAUCUGGUCUCCUCCACAAGCCAAGGAAAUCAUGAGACCUGCCUUCUGGAGAUUCAUCUGUUUCCUUUCAUAUUCCGCACUGAUGUCUCUCUCUUCAUAAAGUACUUUCAGAACUUCAGUUUCCAGGUUACAUGCAAUAUUAAGAUCAAUAGAUUCACAGGUUUGAAUUGCUUUUCUUCAUUCUCAUGAUUCUUUUCAUAAAACACAAAGAAUGUCCAACUAAUUCAAACAACCAAAUAACGUACAGAUAGAGCUUCCACAGUGCCAUCGUGGAAGACUUUUGUCCUCCUUCUUGUUAAGCUACAUCCAUUAGGAUCAUCAAAAGAAGGUAAACUUCUCAAAGAAAAUGACAGAUAAUUAAUCUCCCAGGACAAAGAGAAUGGAGAACAAUUGAAAUAGCAUCUCUUCUCAUUUUCAGUUAUAACAGGCUUUAGUUUUGAGAUCCAACACUACUGAGUGGAGUGAAAAUCAUGAGACCCUUUAAGAGGAAAAAGAAAGUAAUACAACCUACGGUAUAAUUUUGUUCCAGUUUAUAAUCACUGAGAUUUUAACCGUCUUUCAUAGAUUUCAUAGUACCUAAUAUAAAGUUGGGUAUAUGAUAUGUAUUUAAUACUUACGAAAAUUUAGAUUCAGACAAAUUUAUCGUGAAAUGCUUUCCCUAAAAAAUACAGUUCUGGGGCUGGCCUGGGGGUGUAGUGGUUAAGUUCGAGUGCUCUGCUUCGGUGGCCCUGGGUUCACAGGUCUGGAUCCCGUGUGUGGACCUAGUACCACUCCUCAAGCCACGCUGCGGCAGCCUCCUACAUAAAAGAGAGAAAGACUGGCACAGAUGUUAGCUUAGUGACAAUCUUCCUCCAGAAAAAAGAAGAAGAUUGGCAACAGAUGUUAGCUUAGAGUAAGUCUUCCUCACAUAUACACACAAAAAAUACACCUUUACGUAAUUUUAAUAAGACUCAACAUUUUUUGAAGCUCCCUCAAGAUCAAAUAGUUUUACUUAUUUUUUUUCCCCAUUUCUUUUUUUUGGGGGCGGGGGGGAAGCUUAGCCCAGAGCUAACUACUGCCAAUCCUCCUCUUUUUGCUGAGGAAGACUGGCCCUGAGCUAACAUCCAUGCCCAUCUUCCUCUACUUUAUACGUGGGACGCUUACCACAGCAUGGCU
Long non-coding RNA from Equus caballus (horse), 2491 nucleotides. Lineage: Eukaryota; Metazoa; Chordata; Mammalia; Perissodactyla; Equidae. The record is from Ensembl.